CGUGGGGUGCAAGCGUUGUUCGGAAUUACUGGGCGUAAAGCGCGUGUAGGCGGCCUAUUAUGUCAGGUGUGAAAGCCCUCGGCCUAACCGAGGAAGUGCGCCUGAAACUGCUAGGCUUGAGUACGAGAGAGGAGGACGGAAUUCCCAGUGUAGAGGUGAAAUUCGUAGAUAUUGGGAGGAACACCGGUGGCGAAAGCGGUUCUCUGGAUCGAUACUGACGCUAAGACGCGAAAGCGAGGGGAGCAAACAGGAUUAGAUACCCUGGUAGUCCACGCUGUAAACGAUUGAUAUUAGUUGUUGCGAGUUUAACCCUCGCAGUGACGACGCUAACGCAUUAAAUAUCCCGCCUGGGGAUUACGGCCGCAAGGUUA
Molecule: ribosomal RNA, 371 nt
Filed under: uncultured organism
Description: bacterial SSU rRNA
Rfam family: Bacterial small subunit ribosomal RNA
Source: RNAcentral